This 546-nucleotide ribosomal RNA is filed under the name uncultured Nitrososphaerota archaeon. Its description in RNAcentral is "uncultured thaumarchaeote partial 16S ribosomal RNA". Lineage: Archaea; Thermoproteati; Nitrososphaerota. The record is from RNAcentral.
UACAACGCACUACCUGUUCAUAGUAGUCGUUGCUGUCAACAGCACACUGCCCACCAUCAACGCAGGGGCCUACAUCUUCUACACCGACUGGGCGUGGACGUCCUUCGUUGUGUUCUCGGUGUCCCCCUCCACCUUGCUUACUGCAGGCGCCAUAUACUACAUGUUGUUCCCAGGCGUUCCCGGCACCGACACCUCUUACACCACUCAUAUUCCCUCUUCCCAAUGGCUCGCAACAGGCCCAUGCUUUCCACGUGGCAACCCCCACGGCCGCCUCGGGGGACAAGGAGCAACAAGCACGCUGCCAUACUGAUUGGCGGUACGCUGGUUGGCAUAUCGUUCCCGCUGUUCACCAUGGUCAACCUGGUGCUUGUAAGGGACCCGCUCGAGGUGGCGUUCAAGUAUCCGAGACCGACGCUGCCCGCGUACAUGACGCCUAUAGAGCCUCAGGUAGGGAAGUUCUACAACUCGCCUGUCGCCCUGGGUUCAGGUGCCGGUGCAGUGCUAACGGUACCCAUCGCUUCGUUGGGUGCAAAAAUAAACACGUGG